UACGUAGGGUCCGAGCGUUAAUCGGAAUUACUGGGCGUAAAGCGUGCGCAGGCGGUUUUGUAAGCCAGAUGUGAAAUCCCCGGGCUUAACCUGGGAAUGGCAUUUGGGACUGCAAGGCUGGAGUGUGGCAGAGGAGACUGGAAUUCCUGGUGUAGCAGUGAAAUGCGUAGAUAUCAGGAGGAACACCGGUGGCGAAGGCGGGUCUCUGGGCCGAUAUUGACGCUGAGGAGCGAAAGCGUGGGGAGCGAACAGG
Molecule: ribosomal RNA, 253 nt
Filed under: uncultured bacterium
Lineage: Bacteria
Description: partial 16S ribosomal RNA
Rfam family: Bacterial small subunit ribosomal RNA
Source: RNAcentral